This 497-nucleotide ribosomal RNA is filed under the name uncultured bacterium. RNAcentral's name for it is "partial 16S ribosomal RNA". It matches the Rfam family "Bacterial small subunit ribosomal RNA", at positions 28 to 507 of the family's 1533-position model. The record is from RNAcentral.
GAUGAACGCUGGCGGCGUGCCUAAUACAUGCAAGUCGAGCGAACGGACGAGAAGCUUGCUUUUCUGAUGUUAGCGGCGGACGGGUGAGUAACACGUGGAUAACCUACCUAUAAGACUGGGAUAACUUCGGGAAACCGGAGCUAAUACCGGAUAAUAUUUUGAACCGCAUGGUUCAAAAGUGAAAGACGGUCUUGCUGUCACUUAUAGCUGGAUCCGCGCUGCAUUAGCUAGUUGGUAAGGUAACGGCUUACCAAGGCGACGAUGCAUAGCCGACCUGAGAGAGUGAUCGGCCACACGGGAACUGAGACACGGUCCAGACUCCUGAGGGAGGCAGCAGUAGGGAAUCGUCCGCAAUAGGCGAAAGCCUGACGGAGCAACGCCGCGUGAGUGAUGAAGGUCUUCGGAUCGUAAAACUCUGUUAUUAGGGAAGAACAUAUGUGUAAGUAACUGUGCACAUCUUGACGGUACCUAAUCAGAAAGCCACGGCUAACUACGUG